GGUUGUAGAGUUCGAUUAGUCUAAUUAUUUGAUAAUUAGACUUCUGGCAUUCUGCCUUAGUGAACUGACCUUCCAUGUGAGCCCUGAUGAUGCUCUAGAAUGGCCUUUUUUGUAGGAUCUUGAGGACAUCCUUUCUUGCUGCAAGCUUGUCUUUUACCGUUUGCAAAGUGUUGUCAAAUGUGAGCAUGUUGCUCUUGAUCUGCACAUAAUUUAGGUUAUUGCGUCUGUUGGGUUUAGGUUUUUGUAUUUGGGAUGGUGUUCUUUUGGUCUUCGUUGUUUUCUUUGGUUUUAGUGUGUUUGUGGAUUUAGGUGUGGAUGGUUUUGGUGUUUGUUUAGCUUUGGUAUUUGGUUUAGGUGGAUUGGCUUUAGGUGUUGACAGUUUGGCUUUUGUUGUUGUUGGUGGUAUGCCUUGUGUGUUUGUUGAUUCUGUUUUGUGCUUUUGCAGGCUUGGGAUCCUUUUGUAUGCUUUUUUUUUUUUUUUUUAAUUUCAACUCGAUUACCUUUUUCCAUAUGAUCACCUGAAAAGUGAAACAAAUAGGUUACUUUAACUGAACAAAAGAAAGAUGAAACAUAAGUAUUAAUACUUCUAUGACAUGGUAUUAACCAUUUACUUCUAUGCAUUUGAACCUCAUGCUUCUCUUUCUAGUGCACUGCGAUUUUUU
RNAcentral lists this long non-coding RNA (662 nucleotides) under Prunus persica (peach). RNAcentral describes it as "long non-coding RNA (PPER_LNC006403)". The record is from RNAcentral. Lineage: Eukaryota; Viridiplantae; Streptophyta; Magnoliopsida; Rosales; Rosaceae.